CAUAUUAUAGAGCUUAAAUCAUAAAAUUUAAUUUAAAAUUAUUACUUUCAAAUCCAUUUUCAUAUACAAAUUUCAAUAUAUAAUCCAUUUAAAUAAAUUUAUUGUAACCCAUUUCUUCUUAUUUAUAAACUGCACCUUGAUCUGAUUUAAUUUAAAAUUAUAAAUUAUGAAUAUUAAAUUCUUCUAAAAUAUUCAACUACGACGAUAUACAAGCUAAUUAAAAUAAGUAAAAUAAAUCGUGGAUUAUCGAUUACAGAACAGGUUCCUCUGAAUAGACUAAAAUACCGCCAAAAUCUUUAAUUUUAAAGUUCAUAACUAAUAAUAAUUUAAUACAAUCUUUUUACAUUUCU
This 350-nucleotide ribosomal RNA is filed under the name Hydrocassis sp. KS-2013. RNAcentral's name for it is "partial 12S ribosomal RNA". The record is from RNAcentral. Lineage: Eukaryota; Metazoa; Arthropoda; Insecta; Coleoptera; Hydrophilidae.